This 1554-nucleotide ribosomal RNA is filed under the name Escherichia coli. RNAcentral's name for it is "bacterial SSU rRNA". It matches the Rfam family "Bacterial small subunit ribosomal RNA". The record is from RNAcentral. Lineage: Bacteria; Pseudomonadati; Pseudomonadota; Gammaproteobacteria; Enterobacterales; Enterobacteriaceae.
AAAUUGAAGAGUUUGAUCAUGGCUCAGAUUGAACGCUGGCGGCAGGCCUAACACAUGCAAGUCGAACGGUAACAGGAAGCAGCUUGCUGCUUCGCUGACGAGUGGCGGACGGGUGAGUAAUGUCUGGGAAACUGCCUGAUGGAGGGGGAUAACUACUGGAAACGGUAGCUAAUACCGCAUAAUGUCGCAAGACCAAAGAGGGGGACCUUCGGGCCUCUUGCCAUCGGAUGUGCCCAGAUGGGAUUAGCUUGUUGGUGGGGUAACGGCUCACCAAGGCGACGAUCCCUAGCUGGUCUGAGAGGAUGACCAGCCACACUGGAACUGAGACACGGUCCAGACUCCUACGGGAGGCAGCAGUGGGGAAUAUUGCACAAUGGGCGCAAGCCUGAUGCAGCCAUGCCGCGUGUAUGAAGAAGGCCUUCGGGUUGUAAAGUACUUUCAGCGGGGAGGAAGGGAGUAAAGUUAAUACCUUUGCUCAUUGACGUUACCCGCAGAAGAAGCACCGGCUAACUCCGUGCCAGCAGCCGCGGUAAUACGGAGGGUGCAAGCGUUAAUCGGAAUUACUGGGCGUAAAGCGCACGCAGGCGGUUUGUUAAGUCAGAUGUGAAAUCCCCGGGCUCAACCUGGGAACUGCAUCUGAUACUGGCAAGCUUGAGUCUCGUAGAGGGGGGUAGAAUUCCAGGUGUAGCGGUGAAAUGCGUAGAGAUCUGGAGGAAUACCGGUGGCGAAGGCGGCCCCCUGGACGAAGACUGACGCUCAGGUGCGAAAGCGUGGGGAGCAAACAGGAUUAGAUACCCUGGUAGUCCACGCCGUAAACGAUGUCGACUUGGAGGUUGUGCCCUUGAGGCGUGGCUUCCGGAGCUAACGCGUUAAGUCGACCGCCUGGGGAGUACGGCCGCAAGGUUAAAACUCAAAUGAAUUGACGGGGGCCCGCACAAGCGGUGGAGCAUGUGGUUUAAUUCGAUGCAACGCGAAGAACCUUACCUGGUCUUGACAUCCACGGAAGUUUUCAGAGAUGAGAAUGUGCCUUCGGGAACCGUGAGACAGGUGCUGCAUGGCUGUCGUCAGCUCGUGUUGUGAAAUGUUGGGUUAAGUCCCGCAACGAGCGCAACCCUUAUCUUUUGUUGCCAGCGGUCCGGCCGGGAACUCAAAGGAGACUGCCAGUGAUAAACUGGAGGAAGGUGGGGAUGACGUCAAGUCAUCAUGGCCCUUACGACCAGGGCUACACACGUGCUACAAUGGCGCAUACAAAGAGAAGCGACCUCGCGAGAGCAAGCGGACCUCAUAAAGUGCGUCGUAGUCCGGAUUGGAGUCUGCAACUCGACUCCAUGAAGUCGGAAUCGCUAGUAAUCGUGGAUCAGAAUGCCACGGUGAAUACGUUCCCGGGCCUUGUACACACCGCCCGUCACACCAUGGGAGUGGGUUGCAAAAGAAGUAGGUAGCUUAACCUUCGGGAGGGCGCUUACCACUUUGUGAUUCAUGACUGGGGUGAAGUCGUAACAAGGUAACCGUAGGGGAACCUGCGGUUGGAUCACCUCCUUACCUUAAAGAAGC